Molecule: non-coding RNA, 224 nt
Filed under: Erysipelotrichaceae bacterium
Lineage: Bacteria; Bacillati; Bacillota; Erysipelotrichia; Erysipelotrichales; Erysipelotrichaceae
Description: T-box sequence
Rfam family: T-box leader
About the family: Uncharged tRNA acts as the effector for transcription antitermination of genes in the T-box leader family. T-boxes are found upstream of many aminoacyl-tRNA synthetase genes and some amino acid biosynthetic genes usually in Gram-positive bacteria.
Source: RNAcentral
ACAACAACUGAGAACAGAAGUAGUACAUUUCAAGCGCUGCAAAGAGAGCCUGCAUAACGGUGAAAGCAGGAGAGUGAUGAGAAAUGGAACGUGUCUGGGAGUUGGAUUGUCGAACGCAGAUAUGCAUGAGGCAGUUCCGUAUGACCUGACGUUACAGGGAAAGCGUCGUUCGUUUUUAUAUAACGGACGGAAGUAAGGUGGUACCGCGAGCAAUCGUCCUUUGU